RNAcentral lists this long non-coding RNA (10898 nucleotides) under Hordeum vulgare. RNAcentral's name for it is "long non-coding RNA (HVUL_LNC007659)". Lineage: Eukaryota; Viridiplantae; Streptophyta; Magnoliopsida; Poales; Poaceae. The record is from RNAcentral.
UUUCAUAUGUUAUAGGAAAGAUUAGUGUUUAUAUUGCACAUGACAUUAUCUAAAUAUAUAAUACUUGUGGUGCUUGAUAGACCAAAGUAAACUUUAGUUUACAACGUGUCCUGGCUUUGGCAAUUCGCUAACUCCGCCUCUGGGCACUAUACAUUGUUCAAUGAAUCCUUCCUUUAAUUGCCGUGAAGUUUGUAGCAGACAGUUUGGGAGGACGAUUUAAGCAAGAGUUGUACGUGAUUCAGUCAUUCAGUGCACUCACGACAACCAGGAUGCAGUACCAUGCUACACGGUAGUCUCAAUUGACUUUGCAUUUUCAGCCAGAGGCACUAGUGGUACCUGAUCACAAGAAAGCUCUAGUCGCCUUGCCGAAAGACCUCUUCAACCCCAGUGGGAAGUCAACGGAAGUUAGUUGACACUCCCUUAGUCUAAAAUAUAAGGUGUAUUGAUUUAUUUUUUCAAAGACAAACAUGUGCAUGUCUGACCAAAUAUUUAGACAAAAACAUAUAUCUACAAUAUCAAAUAUAUACCAUUUGAUCCAUCAUGAAAAGUAUUUUUGUAUUUUACCUAGGAUCUAAUAACGCCCGAACGUUCAAUUUUUGACCAAACCAAAUCAAACGUUUUUUACGGCAAUUUUGGUGACACGAGGAUGACAAGUUUAAUUGACAUGCAUAGCAAAUCCAUACUCGGUGUAUUUUUUCAAGAAAAUUGUUGUGUGUGUCAACUAAACUUUUCAUCCAUGCGUCACUAAAAUUGCCAUCGAAAACAUUCAAUUUGCCAUGGUUAAAUCCCGAACGUUCAUGAUUUAUCAUUUCUGUUUAUCUAUUAUUAGGUAUUGCAGAUAUUAAUAUUUUAUUCUAUAUUCUUUGUAAAAACAUCCAAAUAUUUGAUUUUUACGAAAAAAUAUGCACCUUAUAUUCUAGGACUGAGGGAGUAGAUAGCAAUGGGCUUGACCGCGUGAGCACCAAUCUCACAAGGGUAUUCCUCCCGGCUGGAGUAGAAUUGCUUGCCUUGUCAAGGCCCAAGCUUGGCCAAGAAUUAGUCCGAGCCCCAGGAAUUACAACGGGAAACCCAGAAGGCAGAACGGACAGCGGGGAUGUCACAAGGAUGUCAUACAGAUCAAGGCCUAUCCAACGUGAAGAAACUUCUAUGCUACUUCAAAUCUCUUCAAGGAAGAUGGAGAAGCAUAGUGAAGUGCUACAAGAAAGAAAGAAAUAACAAACUACGAGUACUACUGUACUUGGUUACAAUGAUCAUAUAACAUAUCCCUAGUAUAUCAAUACUCCUUGUGCAAGGGACCUAUUAGGAACAUGUAUUUAGUUUUGCCUUGCACGCAAGUAUAAGAAGAUUCCCAGACCGGAAUAAAAUAAAACAAGCAUGAUCUUUAAUUUGGCAUUGCGUGACAUUUCAGGGGACAGUGACAAUACCAUGAUAAUGCAGAAGUCCAUGGCUCCAUGCUAAGGAUCGCUGGCACCAUGGCUAUCAGGGCAUUAUGCAGGCGGCCUAACCACUUGUGGCUUGUCCACCUCCCCUUCUUUUUUCUAACAAGUUGUCCACCUCUUCAAGUGGGCAAUAGCUACCAUAGCAUGUCAAAGACGGCAUAACAUAAACACACAAAAAGAAAAUAUAGCUCAAGCUUGCUAAAUGAUUAUCAUCGCUGCCCAGAGGAAGAAAAAUGUUUUAGCGAUGCCGGUUUUUUUUUCAAGAUCACCCCAGAGAGGGGCAGGGGUUUUAUAAGGAAAAUUGGACCCGAAAACCCAACAUUCUCGGCUAAUCAGGGAAAACCGAAUGAAAACCCACAAAGAAAGAAAAAAGAAAACGAGAAAAAGAGACACAAGAACUAGGGGAUAGGGACGAGACAAAAACUAAUGCUGACGCCGAUUCAAUCAAGGAUUAGCAUCUCAUAACCAGCUCAAUAGCAACAUCAUCAAGGUCCAUAAUAAACUAAUGCUCAGAAAACAAUGCCAAUAUGAAACAAAAGGACAAUCAUAAAUUGCAAAAAAUCAGAAAUAAAACCACGGGACAAACUAUUUUCCACCGUGCAUCUUACGUCAAUUUGGACUUCAAACUUCCUAAAAAGGACAACUUCAAAAUAGGAAAAAAAUCCCAUUACAGUCCUCUGUCUAGAAGCUGCCGCGACUGACUGAGAUAAGAUAGUCGUCAUAAAGAAAAAAUAACCUAUCCGCAUGUUAGACCAAGAAACUGAAGCAUGAGUUCAAAUUGGACUCUAUGAAAGGGCCUUCGCAGCAAGUGGGAAAUUAAUUACGACCACACGCAUACAUACAUGAUGAAAAGAGCAAGCAUAAAUGGAAGCAGUACCUUCGGCCAAACAACUCGCUGAACACCAAGAAAAAUGAACACAUUCCUCUUCCUUAUCAUUCUUCCAUUGCUCACCGCUCUGCCAUGCUCAUAUUCUCAGUCGACGCUAAGCACUGGCUCAUCCUUAUCUGUAGAAGAGCAUAGGCAGACCUUCCUUACCUCACCAAAUGAUGAUUUCUCUUGCGGCUUCCAUGAAGUUGGAGAGAAUGCAUUCACCUUCUCUAUCUGGUUCAGCACCACCAUGGAAAAGACUGUUGUAUGGUCUGCAAACCCCAGGUCCUUCGUGAAUGGCCAUGGUUCCAUGGUGUCUCUGAACCAUAAUGGAAACUUGGUCCUCACUGAUGUUAAUGGCACCGUAACUUGGGAGAGCAAGACAAGCUCUGGCAAGGGCACGGUGGCUUCUCUUCUUGACACUGGCAACCUCGUAAUCAAAGGCUCCACUGGUGCAAUUUUGUGGGAAAGCUUCUCUUCACCAACAGAUACAUUGCUGCCUUUGCAGAAUUUCACAAAAAAUACAAGGCUGGUCUCCAGUUAUUACAGCCUUUAUUUUGACAAUGACAAUGUGCUACGCCUCAUGUAUGACAGUCCAGAAAUAUCAAGUAUCUAUUGGCCAAGUGCAGACUACACAGUGCGUCAAAAUGGGCGGACUAGCUACAACAGCUCUAGGAUUGCAGUCCUCGACACUGAAGGAUUUUUCCUCUCAAGUGAUGGGCUGAAUGUCAAGGCUUCUGAUUGGGGUAAUGGAGUCAAGAGAAGGCUGACAAUUGGUUCUGAUGGAAACCUCAGAAUGUACAGUCUGAAUGUGUCAAAUGGGAGUUGGAUAGUAUCAUGGCAGGCUAUAGCAAAACUGUGUGAUGUGCAUGGGCUGUGUGGAAAAAAUGGGAUAUGUGAAUUCUUGCCAAGUUUCAGGUGUUCAUGUCCCCCAGGAUAUGAGAUGACCGAUCCGCAAAACUGGAACAAAGGUUGCAAGCCACAAUUCAGUAAAAGCUGCAGCAAAGCAGAAGAGUAUGACUUCAUCAAGCUCCCACAAACCGACUUUUAUGGCUUUGAUCUGACCAAUAAUGUGUCCUCACUUGAAGAAUGUAAAAAGACAUGCUUGAACAUUUGCUCCUGCUCAGCUCUCACGUACAAGGUGGGAUAUGGACUUUGCUACACCAAAGCUGUACUCUUCAAUGGUUACAGCUCCCCAAAUUUUCCUGGCGACAACUAUAUCAAACUACCCAAGAAUAUGAGCAUCUCCAGACAAUCUCGUCUUACAUGCAAUCCGGAUAUUCCAGUGAUUGUACAAGGAUCGGCAAGUAUGUAUGGAAUGGAUGAUGUCAACAAGAGUUAUACAAUUUAUUAUGUGUUUGCAGCAAUACUGGGAGCUCUAGUCUUGCUCUUUAUCGGUACAAGCUGGUCGUUUCUUUACAGCAAGCAAAACAUACCUAAGUCAAUGGAAGAAGGCUAUAGGACUGUAAUGAGCCAGUUCAGGAUGUUCAUCUAUAGGGAAUUAAGGGAAGCGACUGGAAAGUUCAAGGAAGAGAUUGGAAGAGGGGGCUCUGGAAUUGUUUACAGAGGCGUACUUGAAGAUAAGAGAGUUGUGGCAGUGAAGAACUUAACUAGCGUUUCACAUAGUGAGGAGGAAUUCUGGGCAGAAAUGAAUAUAAUCGGAAGGAUCAACCAUAUGAAUUUAGUACGGAUGUGGGGUUUUUGCUCUGAGGGUCAACACAAACUGCUGGUGUACGAGUAUGUGGAGAAUGAAUCACUUGACAAGUUUAUAUUUGGUAAUCUAAGUGCUGAGAGAUUACUGGCAUGGAGCCAACGAUUCAAAAUAGCACUAGGAACAGCAAGAGGCUUGGCGUACCUCCAUCAUGAGUGCCUUGAGUGGGUAAUCCAUUGUGAUAUAAAGCCAGAGAACAUACUCCUGACCCGAGACUUCGAAGCAAAGAUAGCAGACUUCGGACUAGCCAAACUCUCAAAGAGAGACAGUUCCAGUUUCAAUCUCACCCACAUGAGAGGAACAAUGGGCUACAUGGCGCCAGAGUGGGCACUGAAUUUGCCGAUCGAUGCAAAGGUUGAUGUAUACAGUUAUGGGGUUGUACUUCUCGAAAUUGUGACUGGAAAUAGGAUCUCAAGUGGGAUUACAGUGGAUGGGAAAGAGGUGGAGUUUAUACAGUUUGUGCAUGCAGUUAAAGAAUUGCUGGGGAGUGGAGAUGUCAAGGUUAUAGCUGAUGCUAGACUGAAUGGCCAUUUCAAUCCUGAGCAAGUGGCGGUAAUGAUGAAAUUGGCUCUAUCUUGUCUCGAAGAAAGAAACAGCAGACCUACAAUGAAUGAAAUUGUAAAAGCUCUACUGGCAUGUGAUGACGAAGACAAUCACCCAGCCUACUCACGGUGACCGGCAAUAAACAACAGUGUAUUAAUUGCAAGAAGAAGAAUUGGUCUAGUAUAUUGUUUGAUAUUUGAAAGUAAAAGAAAAUGUUGCUAGAGAAAAUGUCAGGUUGUGUAAAUCUUUCUGUAGAUGGAACACUAACUGCACUAUAUUGAAUGUUUUUUUUUAUAUGAACUCCUGCAUGAAACAUAGUGGGCUCAUUUGUGUAGUUUUUCCUUCAGAAGAAAAAAGAAUUUAGUCUGCUUACUGUUUGAUCUUUUAGAGCAUGUAACAACUUCCAAAGAUUCGUGCUGUUUUUUCAAAAAUUCGUUCUUCCAUUCGAGAUCCCUUAGGUGCAACCAUGAGAGACCGCGUGACUCUUAUUAGUAAAUAGCCAGUUAACAACUCACAACAUUCACUCAUGGAAAUCUUGUACAAAUAUACGAUACUGAUAAAUGUGACCGAUAUCUCAAAGGAAAUUUGCUAGCUAAAAUACUCGCACAAACCAUUUCAGCUAUUACUUUCUUGCUAAAUUAGCAGUGGAAUACUGACUUGAAUGGUCCAUCUAUCUAGUACUAUGGCAACACUACAUUUUGGCACAAAUUUAUGGUCGAAGUUUCAGCUGGUAACAUAAUCAAUAAAGUGAUCCAGUCAUCCUUGGACUACAUUAUUAGUCACGGUGGUAAAAAGUACAAAUCGAGCACCAGGGCCAAAUUAUUUUUCCCCGCAAAAUGGGAAAACUUUAGCACUUAUAACUGUAUCAGCUUAACUGGUCUUUCAGGACACUGUUCAAUUUCUGAAUGUCUACAAUCCUUGGGAGUAGCAAAAGUGACUGAUUUAGCUUCCUGUUCAGAAAGAGUGCAAAUGUGCACAUGUGUAUUGGGCCUUAGUGCUCUCGGGUCUCCAUGUCGAUGCAAUGAAUUACCAAGGUUGUACAUGUUAAAAGAACAAUCAGCAGACAGGAGAAAGGCACUAUUGAAAAUACGGAAAGGGUAUAUACCAUGGUGGGUUCUUCUUUCAGUCUAGAACAAAAUGAUGAAGAUUCUUGUAGCGUUGUAGUCGGACGGCCAUGGCAGCUGGGGUGAUACCGGGGGCAGGCCAGGGCGCGCAGGGCGGCGGGGGAGCCGUGAGGGAGAAAACCGGGACCUGAGCGCGGGGGACAGAGCCGACGGGCGGCCUGGUCGGGGCGCGCGGCGCGGAGGAGCGAGACGGCAGGGGCGUGGAACUGGGGAAGGCCGGGACCGGGAGCGCGGGGGCGGCGGAGGCGUGCACGAGUUUUUUUUGUUGUUGUUGUUCUGAGAACAACGAGCUGCGGAGCUGAAUCGGGUUACAUCGUGGAUGCGGUGCGUGCAUUUUAACUUUCGUUUUUUUUUUUUUUUUUUUUUGCGAUGAGCUUGGCCUGGAAUAGAAAGCUUUGUCGCCCCUGGUGAUGUUCGAUGAAUUGGGGCGCGGCUAUGCCUCGCUCGCUGCGAGGAGUGCAACUAGUUAAAUCAUCUCUAGAUUCUAAAAAAAAAAGUUAAAUCAUCUCUAGCAUCCUCAGCAUUUCCAUAAAAAUGCAAACUGUAAAAUUGAGAUACAGAUAAAAAAUGUAUUUUAAAGAUCUAUUUUAGCUAUGGCCGAAUAAAAACUGUAAAACAAAGUGUAAAUCUGGAAUAAAGAGCUCCUUCCUUCGGUCCGGCGGCUACUGCCCCUUCCUCCAGCCGGUUGUGCCGGCCAUGCCGGUCUCGUCCAACUCCGUCGGCCGCGCCCCGUCGCCCGUCGGUCAUGCCUCAUCGUCCAUCAGCUGCGCCCCAUCCCUGUCGGUCGCGCCCCAUCACCACGCGCAGUCGCGCCCAGCCUCGCCGGCCACGGCUUGUCGCCCACUGGCCAUGCCCCAUUCCCGACGACACUGUCCUGCUCUGUUGCCAGCCGUGUCGGCCGAGUCGUGCCCCUUUGUCGGCUGUGUCGGGAGGAUACCGAUAGCCAGGCUGAGGUCAUGGAAGGCCACGGCGAGGUCGAGCUCGUCCAAUUCGAAUCGGCGAUGAUCGAUUGCAGCGUCCAGCGCCCUUUUCCAGUGUGUGGUGAUGAAUUCUGACGAGUUUAGGGAGGAUUCCGGCAAACUCCACGGUGGCGUGUUUCCUCCGAUGAGAUUUGACCAGUAUACAGGGUCCCCUUGGUUCGGCCUUUCAAUCUUCAAAUAUAAGGGUUUCGGGUGUGGCUUUUUCAUGCUCCUUAAAAUAUUUACGGGUUGGACCACUUUUACGGUUUCUGUUCUCGAAUUUUUUUCGACCAAAACUGUAAAAUGCAAAUUUUUUUACGGAUUUGAUCAUUUAUAAGGGGUGUGCUAGAGAUGCUCUAAGUGGUCAAACCAAGAUUUUGGAAAAUGUUAACUCAACGUAUAAAAUUUGUUACUCACUUGAUCUAUAUUACAUGUCGCUCAGACGGAUGUAUCUAGACGUUUUUCAAUGCUAGAUACAUAUCCUUGAACGAUAAGAGGAGUACCAUAAUUUAAAAAGAAUGUUGAUAACAUUAAAAUAAAUGUUUGUAACCAAAAAAUGUUCAUGUGUGUCAAGAAAAUGUAUAUGAAAAUGUAAAAAAUGUUAAUUAUGUAUUUAAAAAAUGUUAAACAUGUACUUCCUCCGUUUUGUUUUUUUAGUUAAACUACCAAGAUGUCAUAUACUUAGGAACGGAAGGAGUAUAAAAAGGAAGUUCUUAUAUAUACGACAAAUAUACAACAUGUAUGAAAAUGUAGAUAUAAAACAUAUUUAAAAAUAUGCUAAUUAUGUAUUUCAAAAUACCAAAUCGGUAUGAAAAAUUACUUGUAUAUUUUUGCAUGGUAUGUUACUGAUGUAUAUGAAAAAUGUAAGGCAUACAGAUAAAAAUAGACAUCAAAAUAUAUAUUUGGAAAACUGUUAAGUAUGUAUUUGAAACAUCUUAAACGUGUAUAAAAUGUCCUGAUGUAUACCAAAAUGCAUAACAUAUGUUAAAAUGUAGACACUAAAACAUAUAUUGAAAGAAAUGUUAAUCAUGUAUUUAAAAUAUUAAAUGUGUGUUAAAAAUGUCCCGGAUGUAUACAAAAUAAGUAUAUUGUGCGUGAAAACAAUGGCAGGUGUUCAAAGAAAGGAAAAAUGCCUGAUGAAAAUCAAAAAGAAAAAAGAAACUGAGAAAAAUGAUAAUGAAACAAAGAAACCAAAGAAAAAAAGAAAAAAAAGAAAAAGGAAGAAAAGCUACAAACGAAAAAAAACAAAAACACAUAGAAACCCGCUCCAAGAAACCCCUAUUCGCCCGCCUAUCUCGACUGCGAGAUGGAGACAUAGCUCUUGCGGAUGAAUUGCCUCAAACUCAUUACAACUAACCUCGGAUAAAUCAAAGUAGAGACAACCCUGAGUCAUGGGUUGGCCCCACCGGGUUUGUCGAUGACGUGCUAAAUCAUGGAUGGCUAGAUGCACAAAUUGCUCGGAUCAAAAACGGGUCGUGCCAUACUGCUUGAGCCCGAGGCCGAUGACAACGAGUGUGCGGAAGUUUUGGGAGGAAAUGACUGAACUAUUCACGCACCUUUGUCCACACCCCCUAGGCAUGGGCCUUGUGGCCCACAUUUUACAACAUUUGAGUUCAUAUGCUUUGUGCAACAAAUGUUUUGGAGAAAAAUAUACCCCCUCUCAUCCCUUCAACUCGAUAGAAAUUCCCCUAAACUCCCAAGUCAGUUAAAUCACGCCAAAGUCUUUGAAAGCCUCACAAAUCUCUCCCUAGGUAGUUUUGAGUUUAAUGAUGAUGACUAGACUUGUUGAAUUGGCAAAAGUGCAAAAUGAACAUUAUUUCACCUAAUCGUAUCGUCGAUGCUUUUCUUUACUCAACCAUCCUCUUCGUGUGCAUGCAUCCUCCUGAGCUCCUCCUCGCACCCCCCAUUGCCAUCACCCUCCUACGUCUUCGUCGUCAUCGUGGUCCUCAUGCCAUCAAUGACAUGGCUCCAGGUACGUCAUUGUCCCGUGUUUCCUGCUCUCCUCCAGCAGCAUCGAUGAGAGGUUGAUAUAUCAAAAUCUGCUUUUUGGGUGUUUGGGUAUUUGGAUUUGGACUUGAUGCGCAGCCAUGUGUCGGUGUCAAAAUUGGCGAAUCUCGGGUUGGGGGUCCCGAACUGUGGAUCUUGAAUCGAUGGGCAACACGGAACACGGGAGACGAUAUUUACCCAUGUACGGGCCCUUUUGAAGGAGGUAAAACCCUAUGUCCUGCUUUUGUUUAUAUUAUUGGUGAAGUAUCGGAUACAGAGUUGAUCUACCUCGAGGUCGUAUGUAGUGGUCUAAAACUUUAGGAGUAAUGAUCUUAACGUGCACUACAGAAUAAAAGCCCUCUGGUUUAUAUAGAUACCAAAGGCACUAGGGUUACACAAUGUUGGUUACACCAAAGAGAAAACACACCGACCAUCAUCUUGCCUUGGAGCGUACACCAAGUCUUCAGAAGAAUCCGUUGUAGAUACAACAUCGCAUGAUAAUUUGGCCUACAGUGAUAAUCAUAGGGCAACCCAUGAGUUCGGCCCAUGAAAAUAGGUCAACGGCCCGAGGAUCCCUUAUUCCCGGACUCCCUCAGUAGCCCCCGAACUGGCCUCCAAUGUCGUAGCCUGGAUUUCUAGUUGCUUCUCGUGCCCAAAGUCUUCGGCUUGCGGGCCAAGUUCCUUCCCCACUUAUACCUGGCCGGUAAUAUUCUGGUAACCAAUGACUUCCUUGUUUCCGAACAGUAUAUGCGACGUAGCCUCGAAGACCAACCAUUUGAUCGUGAAUAGCAUUUUUGUCAGACAACUUCUUUGUGAAAGGUCGCGAGUUCGCGACUGAACAUGACCACUGACCAAUUACAAAAACAUGGUUCGAGGUAGUUUUCUCGGGAAGACCUGACCGGGAGCGCGGGGGCGGCGACGUGCACGAGCUACGAAGUUUUUCUUUUCUUUUUUGUUUUGAGAACAACGAGCUGCGGCGCUGAAUCAGGUUACUUCAUGGAUGCGGUGCGUGCAUUUAUUUUUUUAUUUUUUUGCGAUGAGCUUAGCGUGGAGUAGAAAGCUUUGCCGCCCUGGGGCACGGCUAUGUCUCGCUCGCUGCGAGACAGUAGUUCGGAUCGCCUCAGUGAGCCGGUUAAUGCGCCGGCCCAGUAACCUUCCGCGACGCUGAUGUCAUGUGACAUCAUGCACAUGUAUACAGUUUUUUAUUUUUAAAAUUUAAAUUAUGUUCCUGAUUAAAAUUUCAAAAUGUGAAUAUAUUUUGUAUACAUUAUUCAAAAGCUAAAAUUUUAUUAAAAAAUAAAACCCAAGAGUUUGAAAAAUGUUAACUCAAUGUACAAAAUUUGUUAGUCACUUGAUAUAUAUUACUUGUCGCUCAGAUGAAUUUAUCUAGACGUAUUUCAAUGCUAGAUACAUCUCUUUGAGCGAUAAGUCAUAUGGAUCGAAACGAGUACCAUAAUUUAAAAGAAUGUUGAUAGCUUUAAAUAAAUUUUUGUAACCAAAAAAUGUUCACGUGUUUCAAGAAAAUGUAUGUGAAAAUUUAAAAAUAUGUUAAUUAUGUAUUUGAAAAAUGUUAAACAUGUACUUCCUCAGCUUUGGUAGUUCAGUUAAACUACCAAAAUGUCAUCUAUUUAGGAAUGGAGGGAGUAUAAAAUAGUUCUUAUAUAUAAUACAAAUGUACAACAUGUAUGAAAAAUGUGGAAAUUAAAACAUAUUUAAAAAUAUGUUAAUUAUUUAUUUAACAAUAUUAAAUCGGUAUAAAAGUUAUUACUUACAUAUUUUCGCUGUGUAUGUUACCAAUGUAUAUGAAAAUUGUAAGACAUGGAAAAAAUAGACAUCAAAAUAUAUAUUUGGAAAAAUGUUAAGUGUGUAUUUCAAAUAUGUUAAACGUUUAUAAAAUGUCCCGAUGUAUUAAAAAAUGCACAACAUAUGUUAAAAAUGUAGACACUAGAACAUAUAUUGAAAGAAAUGUUAAUCAUGUAUUUAAAAUAUUAAAUGUGUGUUAAAAAUGUCUUUCAUGUACUCCCUCCGUUCCUAAAUAUAAGAUGUAUUAUUUUUUUUAAAAGUCAAACUUCUCUAACUUUUAUCAGACUUAUAGACAAAAAUAUCAAGGUCUAGAAUAUCAAAUCACUAUCACUAGAUUUAUCAUGAAAUAUAUUUUCAUAUUAUAUAUAUAUAUAUAUAAUAUUGUAAAUCAUUAUAUAUUUUGCUAUAAAGUUGGUCAAACAUAAACAAGGUUUGACUUUUUUAAAAACCAAUACACCUUAUAUU